UAGGAGGAAGCAUGGCAUUGUG
This 22-nucleotide non-coding RNA is filed under the name Mus musculus (house mouse). The record is from RNAcentral. Lineage: Eukaryota; Metazoa; Chordata; Mammalia; Rodentia; Muridae.